This 375-nucleotide ribosomal RNA is filed under the name uncultured bacterium. RNAcentral describes it as "bacterial SSU rRNA". It matches the Rfam family "Bacterial small subunit ribosomal RNA", at positions 521 to 896 of the family's 1533-position model. The record is from RNAcentral.
UAAUACAGAGGGUGCGAGCGUUGAUCGGAAUUACUGGGCGUAAAGGGCGCGUAGGCGGUUACAUGAGUGUGCUGUGAAAGCCCCGGGCUUAACCUGGGAAGUGCAGUGCAAACGAUGUAACUGGAGUAGAUGAGAGGGUGGUGGAAUUUCCGGUGUAGCGGUGAAAUGCGUAGAGAUCGGAAGGAACGUCAAUGGCGAAGGCAGCCACCUGGCAUCAUACUGACGCUGAGGCGCGAAAGCGUGGGGAGCGAACAGGAUUAGAUACCCUGGUAGUCCACGCUGUAAACGAUGAGAACUAAAUGUUGGUGGGGGAACCCAUCGGUAUUGAAGCUAACGCGAUAAGUUCUCCGCCUGGGAAGUACGGCCGCAAGGUUG